CUCUUGAUACCACUAAUUAGGAAAAACCAAAUGCAUAGAGAAUAAAUAGGAGUACAAUAACAACACAAGAGAUUAAUGUGGAAACUCUAAAAUUGGAGAAAAAACAACAACCGUUGUCAAAUGAUAACCAGAGAAUAACGUAAUAUGAAAAUUGUUACAGCAUAUAGACUACCUUCAACCACCCCAAGUCCCUAAUACACACGUACUCUCCAAAGAAAAUAUUUAACUACCACUCCCAACACUCUAACA
This 249-nucleotide long non-coding RNA is filed under the name Lathyrus oleraceus (garden pea). Its description in RNAcentral is "Pisum sativum (pea) long non-coding RNA (PSAT_LNC024778)". Lineage: Eukaryota; Viridiplantae; Streptophyta; Magnoliopsida; Fabales; Fabaceae. The record is from RNAcentral.